GAAAUGCGAUAAGCAAUGCGAAUUGCAGAAUUCCGCGAGUCAUCAGAUCUUUGAACGCAGCCCGCGCCGGAGAGAUAUCUCUUCGGCAUGUUUGUUUCAGUGUGUUUGGUUGACUUCAAACAGCUCAAUGCGAUUGAACUUUUUUUACGAAAGGGGUCUCUCGUGAAAAGCGAAGGCGUGGGACUUACCCGCCAACGAUGUGGUCACUGUCUAACAGUGAAUUCGUUGGGUUCAUCGGUGUGAGUCAUUUACGUACGUCUUAAUAAAAACAAAAUCUUCAAUCUGCACCUGAAAUCAAGCAAGAACACCCGCUGAACUUAA
RNAcentral lists this unclassified non-coding RNA (321 nucleotides) under uncultured fungus. RNAcentral describes it as "sequence contains ITS1". The stretch from base 1 to 105 matches the Rfam family "5.8S ribosomal RNA", at positions 50 to 154 of the family's 154-position model. Lineage: Eukaryota; Fungi. The record is from RNAcentral.